This 430-nucleotide ribosomal RNA is filed under the name uncultured Bifidobacterium sp. Its description in RNAcentral is "bacterial SSU rRNA". It matches the Rfam family "Bacterial small subunit ribosomal RNA", at positions 199 to 640 of the family's 1533-position model. Lineage: Bacteria; Bacillati; Actinomycetota; Actinomycetes; Bifidobacteriales; Bifidobacteriaceae. The record is from RNAcentral.
UGGGAAAGCUUUUGCGGUAUGGGAUGGGGUCGCGUCCUAUCAGCUUGAUGGCGGGGUAACGGCCCACCAUGGCUUCGACGGGUAGCCGGCCUGAGAGGGCGACCGGCCACAUUGGGACUGAGAUACGGCCCAGACUCCUACGGGAGGCAGCAGUGGGGAAUAUUGCACAAUGGGCGCAAGCCUGAUGCAGCGACGCCGCGUGCGGGAUGACGGCCUUCGGGUUGUAAACCGCUUUUGACUGGGAGCAAGCCCUUCGGGGUGAGUGUACCUUUCGAAUAAGCACCGGCUAACUACGUGCCAGCAGCCGCGGUAAUACGUAGGGUGCAAGCGUUAUCCGGAAUUAUUGGGCGUAAAGGGCUCGUAGGCGGUUCGUCGCGUCCGGUGUGAAAGUCCAUCGCUUAACGGUGGAUCCGCGCCGGGUACGGGCGGG